AACGAACGCUGGCGGCGCGCCUAAUACAUGCAAGUCGAGCGAGAAGACGUAGCAAUACGUUUGUAAAGCGGCGAACGGGUGAGGAAUACAUGGGUAACCUACCCUCGAGUGGGGAAUAACUAGCCGAAAGGUUAGCUAAUACCGCGUACGCUCCUUGGACUUCGGUUCAGGGAGGAAAGCGAUACCGUGGGUAUCGCGCUCUUGGAUGGGCUCAUGUCCCAUCAGCUUGUUGGUGAGGUAACGGCUCACCAAGGCUUCGACGGGUAGCUGGUCUGAGAGGACAAUCAGCCACACUGGCACUGCGACACGGGCCAGACUCCUACGGGAGGCAGCAGUAAGGAAUAUUGCGCAAUGGGCGAAAGCCUGACGCAGCGACGCCGCGUGAGGGAUGACGGCCUGG
This 400-nucleotide ribosomal RNA is filed under the name uncultured bacterium. RNAcentral's name for it is "bacterial SSU rRNA". It matches the Rfam family "Bacterial small subunit ribosomal RNA", at positions 29 to 419 of the family's 1533-position model. The record is from RNAcentral.